This 253-nucleotide ribosomal RNA is filed under the name uncultured bacterium. RNAcentral describes it as "partial 16S ribosomal RNA". It matches the Rfam family "Bacterial small subunit ribosomal RNA", at positions 524 to 776 of the family's 1533-position model. The record is from RNAcentral.
UACGAGUGCCCCAAGCGUUAUCCGGAAUUAUUGGGCGUAAAGGGGGUGUAGGUGGCGAUGUUAGUCUUCUGUCAAAUUCUUCGGCUUAACCGGGGGUCUGCAGGGGAAACGGCAUUGCUCGAGUGUGCAAGGGGUGAAUGGAACUCAUGGAGUAGGGGUGAAAUCCGUUGAUAUCAUGGGGAACACCAAAAGCGAAGGCAAUUCACUGGUGCAUUACUGACACUGAAACACGAAAGCGUGGGUAGCGAACGGG